ACAAACGCUGGCGGCAUGCCUAACACAUGCAAGUCGCACGGACAGAACAGGGAAGCUUUUCGGAGUGGAACUGGAAAGUUAGUGGCGGAUGGGUGAGUAACGCGUGGACAACCUACCUUGUAAAGGGGAAUAACCUCGAGAAAUCGAAGCUAAUACCCCAUAAUAACCUUGCUUCGCAUGAAGUAAGGAGGAAAGGCGGCCUUAGCGCUGUCGAUACAAGAUGGGUCCGCGUCUGAUUAGCUAGUUGGUGAGGUAAAGGCUCACCAAGGCGACGAUCAGUAGCCGGCCUGAGAGGGUGAACGGCCACAUUGGGACUGAGACACGGCCCAAACUCCUACGGGAGGCAGCAGUGUGGAAUCUUCCGCAAUGGGCGAAAGCCUGACGGAGCAAUGCCGCGUGAGUGAAGAAGGCCUUCGGGUUGUAAAACUCUGUCCUUAUCGAAGAGAGAGUGUUGUAGUAACUGACAAUACUAGGACGGUAGAUGAGGAGGAAGCCCCGGCUAACUAUGUG
This 510-nucleotide ribosomal RNA is filed under the name uncultured bacterium. Its description in RNAcentral is "partial 16S ribosomal RNA". It matches the Rfam family "Bacterial small subunit ribosomal RNA", at positions 29 to 507 of the family's 1533-position model. The record is from RNAcentral.